UCCUCGGCGACGGGGAAUCUGAAGGAAGCUCGAGGCAAAUACUUGCACCGACGAACAGAAAUUUCAUACAAGGCCAUGUAGAAUGGAUGAGCUUGCAAAACAAAGCAAAGUCCAAUACUGCCCGGGUUCUGCAUGGUAAAUGAAGCGGUGACAUGAGUAGAAGGUCUGCACU
Molecule: non-coding RNA, 172 nt
Organism: Enterococcus cecorum
Lineage: Bacteria; Bacillati; Bacillota; Bacilli; Lactobacillales; Enterococcaceae
Source: Rfam